AAGAGUUCUGCCACUAUUACAUAUCAGACCUAGGGACAGCAAUUAGCCUGGGCUUUUUUCUAGGCCCACUCCACCCUGUUGAACAAUUACAGGAGGGGAUGGGGACUGAAUUGUCUAAAUUGGAGCAAGGAGAAACAGAAUCAUCUAGGAUCCCAACUCUGCUUGAGUUUAGUUAUUUUUCCUUGACAUUUGUAGAAUUUUAAUUCUGUCUCACAUGACAAAAACUCUUCCAAUAUUUUUCUGCAGAACAGCCCAACAAUACCUCCUUCCUCCCACUUGUGAGUGCACAUGUACAUUUGCUCUACCUUCCCUUAGCUAUUAUUAUUCCACCAGUCAUUCUUUUUCCUCUACCUCUCCAUCUCCCUCUUCUUUCUUUUUCUUUCUUCUUCUUUUUCUUUUUUAAUUUUAUUUUGCUUCUCUAAUUAUAGUUGUCAAACUAUGAU
Molecule: unclassified non-coding RNA, 443 nt
Filed under: Hevea brasiliensis (rubber tree)
Lineage: Eukaryota; Viridiplantae; Streptophyta; Magnoliopsida; Malpighiales; Euphorbiaceae
Source: RNAcentral